GAUGAAGAACGUAGCGAAAUGCGAUACGUAAUGUGAAUUGCAGAAUUCAGUGAAUCAUCGAAUCUUUGAACGCAUAUUGCGCUCUCUGGUAUUCCGGAGAGCAUGCUUGUUUGAGUAUCAGUAAACACCUCAACUUCCAUAUCUUUUUUGAAAUGGGAGUUGGACUUGAGUGAUCCCAACGCUUUUCCACACCGAAAAGUGGCGGGUUACUUGAAAUGCAGGUGCAGCUGGACUUUUCUCUGAGCUAUAAGCAUAUCUAUUUAGUCUGCCUAAAAACAGAUUAUUACCUUUGCUGCAGCUAACAUAAAGGAGAUUAGUUCUUGUGCUGACUGAUGCAGGAUUCACAAAGACAGGCUUCGGCCGACUUUGUAAACUCGAUCUCAAAUCAAGUAAGACUACCCGCUGAACUUAAGCAUAUCAAUAAGCGGAGGA
Molecule: unclassified non-coding RNA, 432 nt
Filed under: soil metagenome
Description: partial contains 5.8S ribosomal RNA, internal transcribed spacer 2, and large subunit ribosomal RNA
Rfam family: 5.8S ribosomal RNA (bases 1-120)
Source: RNAcentral